Molecule: non-coding RNA, 932 nt
Organism: Leptonychotes weddellii (Weddell seal)
Lineage: Eukaryota; Metazoa; Chordata; Mammalia; Carnivora; Phocidae
Source: RefSeq, a predicted model, not a curated record
CCCGAGACACAAAGCAGAACCCAGCUCGUGCCCGCCGGGCCCCGGAUCCCUCAGCCACAGAGGAGGCCUCCCCCCAGAAGAGAGGAAAUUCCACAGCUCUGAGCUCCUGAGGUAUUCAGAAUAUCCUGUCCGUGGCAAGGUCUUCCCACAGUCGUGAAAGAUUUACCGCUCCAGCCUCUUGGAUAUGUCAGAAGACAGGAAAAGAGAAAAGGAGCGCACGCUCCAACUAUUAACUCGCCGUCCUGGGCUUGGCACACUCUUAGGACGAGGGAGAAUGUGUUGAAGCUUGGGGCAGGCUUUUUACCAGCUGUGCGGAGAAAGCAGAGGAAACCGAGGGUGUUCACCGGAGGAAGUGGGAUGUGUAAUCUUGAUUUUGCAUGAAGACAGUCCGUGAAAAUACAAAAUACAGAGACUAAAUGCAAUUUCUUUUUCUCAGAGAUUUCCAAAAUAAGAUCCUCUCACCGCUAUGAUAUACCAUCCAGACAGGCAGUUCAGUUAUUUCUUUUCAAAAGGGAUGAAGUAAGUUGCUGAUCACGUUAUCUUGAAGGAACCAAAAGAGCGUGGAUUCCAUAUCUAACACAUUGCUUCUUCGGUUUAUCUCAGUUUUUGCGUCUGCUUUUGCAAGAGACAAUCCACAGAAUCAGCUGUUUUUGCUGUGAUUUCUUUUGUACCCCAGUUUACUCUUAAGAACUGUAUAAAAUAAUAAUGACAUGUAUUUACCAUCCAGAAAAGAACCACGGAAUAACUACAGGUACAAACCUAUUGCUUCUAUCACUACUGACAUUGCUACAAUACUUUAGAAAUUGUGUGAGUGAAGGAUGACUCUUUGAUGUAACAGGCUGUUCCUUUUUUCUGCCCCCCACCCCAACAGUGUCACUUGAUUUAGGAGAAACUACUGCAUCCCUUCUAUAAAAUUCCCUGAAAUUACUCUU